GGGCCUGUAGUUCAGUCUGGAAGUUGCCAGCAAAUUGCCGGUUAACUAGACAAUUAGAAUGAUCGACUGAUAAUCGAUUGGUCCUCAGUUCAAAUCUGAGCAGGCCCA
This 108-nucleotide transfer RNA is filed under the name Candidatus Woesearchaeota archaeon. Its description in RNAcentral is "tRNA-Ile". It matches the Rfam family "tRNA". From Rfam's summary of the family: Transfer RNA (tRNA) molecules are approximately 80 nucleotides in length. Their secondary structure includes four short double-helical elements and three loops (D, anti-codon, and T loops). Further hydrogen bonds mediate the characteristic L-shaped molecular structure. tRNAs have two regions of fundamental functional importance: the anti-codon, which is responsible for specific mRNA codon recognition, and the 3' end, to which the tRNAs corresponding amino acid is attached (by aminoacyl-tRNA synthetases). tRNAs cope with the degeneracy of the genetic code in two manners: having more than one tRNA (with a specific anti-codon) for a particular amino acid; and 'wobble' base-pairing, i.e. permitting non-standard base-pairing at the 3rd anti-codon position. The record is from RNAcentral. Lineage: Archaea; Nanobdellati; Candidatus Woesearchaeota.